This 208-nucleotide unclassified non-coding RNA is filed under the name Hevea brasiliensis (rubber tree). The record is from RNAcentral. Lineage: Eukaryota; Viridiplantae; Streptophyta; Magnoliopsida; Malpighiales; Euphorbiaceae.
UAUUAUUAUUAUUAUUAUUAUUGUGAGUAUUUUUUUUAGAGGGGGAAUUUAAUAUAUGAUUAUUAGUUUUUUCUUGGGUAAUGUAAUUAUUAAUUAUUAAAUAAAUGCAUAGUGUUAUUAUGAUAUAAUAAAUUUCCACACUAUAAUAAAUAUUCAUAUUUUAUAUCUGCAAAUUCUUUUUUUUUUAAUAUACAUUUUAGAAGACAAA